UACGUAGGCAGCGAGCGUUGUUCGGAGUUACUGGGCGUAAAGAGUGCGUAGGCGGUUUUCUAAGUUUGGUGUGAAAUCUCCCGGCUUAACUGGGAGGGUGCGCCGAAGACUGGAAGGCUUGAGUAUGGGAGAGGUAAGCGGAAUUCCUGGUGUAGCGGUGAAAUGCGUAGAUAUCAGGAGGAACACCUGCGGUGUAGACGGCUUACUGGACCAUAACUGACGCUGAGACACGAAAGCGUGGGUAGCAAACAGG
This 253-nucleotide ribosomal RNA is filed under the name uncultured bacterium. RNAcentral describes it as "partial 16S ribosomal RNA". It matches the Rfam family "Bacterial small subunit ribosomal RNA", at positions 524 to 776 of the family's 1533-position model. The record is from RNAcentral.